ACUCAAAUGAAUUGACGGGGGCCCGCACAAGCAGUGGAGUAUGUGGUUUAAUUCGAAGCAACGCGAAAAACCUUACCAGGUCUUGACAUCUGGCAAACUUGGUCGAAAGACUAGGGUGCCCUUCGGGGAAUGCCAAGACAGGUGGUGCAUGGUUGUCGUCAGCUCGUGUCGUGAGAUGUUGGGUUAAGUCCCGCAACGAGCGCAACCCUUGCCGUUAGUUACUACGAAAGAGGACUUUAACGGGACUGCCGCUGAUAAAGCGGAGGAAGGUGGGGAUGACGUCAAAUCAUCAUGCCCCUUAUGAUCUGGGCUACACACGUACUACAAUGGCGCAUUCACAAUGGGUCGCUACCCAGCGAUGGGAAGCUAAUCCCUAAAAGGCGUCUCAGUUCGGAUUGCAGGCUGAAACUCGCCUGCAUGAAGUAGGAAUUGCUAGUAAUCGCGGAUCAGCAUGCCGCGGUGAAUACGUUCCCGGGCCUUGUACACACCGCCCGU
This 495-nucleotide ribosomal RNA is filed under the name uncultured bacterium. RNAcentral describes it as "bacterial SSU rRNA". It matches the Rfam family "Bacterial small subunit ribosomal RNA", at positions 899 to 1397 of the family's 1533-position model. The record is from RNAcentral.